Molecule: ribosomal RNA, 442 nt
Filed under: uncultured bacterium
Lineage: Bacteria
Description: partial 16S ribosomal RNA
Rfam family: Bacterial small subunit ribosomal RNA
Source: RNAcentral
CCUACGGGUGGCAGCAGUGGGGAAUAUUGGGCAAUGGGCGAAAGCCUGCCCCAGCAACGCCGCGUGAAGGAAGAAGGCUUUCGGGUUGUAAACUUCUUUUGACAGGGAAGAGCAGAAGACGGUACCUGUCGAAUAAGCCAUGGCUAACCACGUGCCAGCAGCCGGGGUAAUACGUAGGUGGCAAGCGUGGUCCGGAUUUAAGGGGUGUAAAGGGCGGGUAUCCGGGCUGACAUGUCAGAUGUGAAAGCCUGGGGCUCAACCCCCGAACUGCAUUUGAAACUGGUGGUCUUGAGUAUCGGAGAGGCAGGCGGAAGUCCAAGUGUAGCGGUGAAAUGCGUAGAUAUUAGGAGGAACACCAGUGGCGAAGGCGGCCUGCUGGACGAAAACUGACGGUGAGGCGCGAAAGCGUGGGGAGCAAACAGGAUUAGAUACCCCUGUAGUC